RNAcentral lists this long non-coding RNA (226 nucleotides) under Homo sapiens (human). Its description in RNAcentral is "PREDICTED lncRNA (TCONS_00240835)". The record is from RNAcentral. Lineage: Eukaryota; Metazoa; Chordata; Mammalia; Primates; Hominidae.
GAAUCAGGCUCCUCUGUCGUGUGGCCUUUUGUUUCCUGGCUGUAGGCCUCGUAGAUGUGAAAGUAACCCAGAGCUCGAGAUAUCUAGUCAAAAGGACGGGAGAGAAAGUUUUUCUGGAAUGUGUCCAGGAUAUGGACCAUGAAAAUAUGUUCUGGUAUCGACAAGACCCAGGUUCUCCGAUCAAUCAUAUUUUGCUGGAAAAAAUUCUGAUCACAGAAGGUUUAAA